This is a non-coding RNA of Pelobates cultripes (western spadefoot toad), 292 nucleotides long. NCBI's taxonomy places the organism in Eukaryota, Metazoa, Chordata, Amphibia, Anura, Pelobatidae. The record is from the annotation of a GenBank genome assembly.
UAGGGUUAAGGGUUGGGGUAGGGUUAGUGGUUGAGGUAGAGGUAGGGUUAGGGAUAGGGUUGGUUUAUGGGUAGGGUUAGAGGUAGGGUUAGGGUUGGUUUAGGGUUAGGGUUAACCCUACCCCAAACCCUAACCCUACUCCUAAACCUAACCCUACUCCAACCACUAACCCUACCACUAAACCCUACCUCAACCACUAACCCUACCCCAACCCUUAACCCUACCCCUAACCCUACCUCUACCUUAACCACUAACCCCUAACACCAACUCUUUAAUGUUUUGCCACUUUUUA